AAACUGUGAGUGAAAACUGUGUCCGCCCAUGUAUGGAGCGUCUUCAGAGCCUGGAAAAAGUAGUUGAGGAACUUAGCAACAAACCUGCUGCAAUCCCAUUGGAAAAAGAGCAAAUGCUUAUGGAAUCGCUGGAGAGGAUCAAGUCUGUGGAGUUUGACCUUGAGAAAACAAAGAGGGUACUACAUGCUACAGUUGUAAAGCAACUUGAGAUUUCUAACUCACUCGACAAUUUACGGGAGUCUAGAUGUCAUCACAGAAGAUUAUUCUGUUGAGGACCUGAAGUUUAAUAGUGGGACUAGCUAGAAAUUGGUGAAAUUGGGGAUAAGAGGAGAUUGAUUUGCAGAGACAGGAACCAAGAGGGC
Molecule: unclassified non-coding RNA, 362 nt
Filed under: Hevea brasiliensis (rubber tree)
Lineage: Eukaryota; Viridiplantae; Streptophyta; Magnoliopsida; Malpighiales; Euphorbiaceae
Source: RNAcentral